RNAcentral lists this ribosomal RNA (253 nucleotides) under uncultured Coprococcus sp. RNAcentral describes it as "partial 16S ribosomal RNA". It matches the Rfam family "Bacterial small subunit ribosomal RNA", at positions 524 to 776 of the family's 1533-position model. Lineage: Bacteria; Bacillati; Bacillota; Clostridia; Lachnospirales; Lachnospiraceae. The record is from RNAcentral.
UACGUAGGGGGCAAGCGUUAUCCGGAAUUACUGGGUGUAAAGGGAGCGUAGGCGGUGAUGCAAGUCAGAAGUGAAAGCCCGCAGCUCAACUGCGGGACUGCUUUUGAAACUGUAUGACUAGAUUGCAGGAGAGGUAAGCGGAAUUCCUAGUGUAGCGGUGAAAUGCGUAGAUAUUAGGAGGAACACCGGCGGCGAAGGCGGCCUGCUGGACUGCGACUGACGUUGAGGCUCGAAAGCGUGGGGAGCGAACAGG